UGCAGUCGAGCGAAUGGAUUAAGAGCUUGCUCUUAUGAAGUUAGCGGCGGACGGGUGAGUAACACGUGGGUAACCUGCCCAUAAGACUGGGAUAACUCCGGGAAACCGGGGCUAAUACCGGAUAACAUUUUGAACCGCAUGGUUCGAAAUUGAAAGGCGGCUUCGGCUGUCACUUAUGGAUGGACCCGCGUCGCAUUAGCUAGUUGGUGAGGUAACGGCUCACCAAGGCAACGAUGCGUAGCCGACCUGAGAGGGUGAUCGGCCACACUGGGACUGAGACACGGCCCAGACUCCUACGGGAGGCAGCAGUAGGGAAUCUUCCGCAAUGGACGAAAGUCUGACGGAGCAACGCCGCGUGAGUGAUGAAGGCUUUCGGGUCGUANAACUCUGUUGUUAGGGAAGAACAAGUGCUAGUUGAAUAAGCUGGCACCUUGACGGUACCUAACCAGAAAGCCACGGCUAACUACGUGCCAGCAGCCGCGGUAAUACGU
Molecule: ribosomal RNA, 491 nt
Filed under: Bacillus sp. CSu5_24
Lineage: Bacteria; Bacillati; Bacillota; Bacilli; Caryophanales; Bacillaceae
Description: bacterial SSU rRNA
Rfam family: Bacterial small subunit ribosomal RNA
Source: RNAcentral